RNAcentral lists this non-coding RNA (45 nucleotides) under Trichobilharzia regenti. The record is from RNAcentral. Lineage: Eukaryota; Metazoa; Platyhelminthes; Trematoda; Strigeidida; Schistosomatidae.
AUCCAGAGACGAGUCCCAAAAUAGGACGAAAUACGCAUCCUGGAU